AGAGUUUGAUCAUGGCUCAGGACGAACGCUGGCGGCAUGCUUAACACACGCAAGUCGAACGGGGGACACUUGUUAGCUUGCUAAUGAGUGUACCUAGUGGCGGACGGGUGAGUAACGCGUGGAUAACCUACCCGUAUCUUUGGGAUAACACCGGGAAACCGGUGCUAAUACCGGAUAUGCUCCAGAGGACACAUGUUCUUUGGAGGAAAGGAGGCUUUUGCUUUCGGAUACGGAUGGGUCCGCGUCCCAUUAGCUAGUUGGUGGGGUAACGGCCUACCAAGGCGACGAUGGGUAGCCGGCCUGAGAGGGUGACCGGCCACACUGGGACUGAGACACGGCCCAGACUCCUACGGGAGGCAGCAGUGGGGAAUAUUCCGCAAUGGGCGCAAGCCUGACGGAGCAAUGCCGCGUGAGUGAAGAAGGCCUUCGGGUUGUAAAACUCUGUCAUUUGGGACGAAAGACUAAAGGCUAAUAUCCUUUAGGUUGACGGUACCAAAGGAGGAAGCCCCGGCUAACUACGUGCCAGCAGCCGCGGUAAUACGUAGGGGGCGAGCGUUGUCCGGAAUCAUUGGGCGUAAAGGGCGCGUAGGCGGUUAGGUAAGUCAGGUGUGAAAACCUCGGGCUCAACUUGAGGACUGCACCUGAAACUACCUGACUUGAGGGCAGGAGAGGAAAGUGGAAUUCCAAGUGUAGCGGUGAAAUGCGUAGAUAUUUGGAAGAACACCGGUGGCGAAGGCGGCUUUCUGGUCUGUACCUGACGCUGAGGCGCGA
Molecule: ribosomal RNA, 771 nt
Filed under: uncultured bacterium
Lineage: Bacteria
Description: bacterial SSU rRNA
Rfam family: Bacterial small subunit ribosomal RNA
Source: RNAcentral